ACAGAGUGAUGACCUAUGAAUUGACAGCCAGUUUAAAACUGCCUGCCUGUCAGUUCUGUAGGCCACUGCCCUGU
Molecule: microRNA precursor, 74 nt
Filed under: Astyanax mexicanus (Mexican tetra)
Lineage: Eukaryota; Metazoa; Chordata; Actinopteri; Characiformes; Acestrorhamphidae
Description: mir-192/215 microRNA precursor family
Rfam family: mir-192/215 microRNA precursor family
About the family: This family represents the human microRNA (miRNA) precursors mir-192 and mir-215. Animal miRNAs are transcribed as ~70nt precursors and subsequently processed by the Dicer enzyme to give a ~22nt product. In this case the mature sequence comes from the 5' arm of the precursor.
Source: Rfam by way of RNAcentral